RNAcentral lists this ribosomal RNA (236 nucleotides) under uncultured Staphylococcus sp. RNAcentral's name for it is "partial 16S ribosomal RNA". It matches the Rfam family "Bacterial small subunit ribosomal RNA", at positions 104 to 334 of the family's 1533-position model. The record is from RNAcentral. Lineage: Bacteria; Bacillati; Bacillota; Bacilli; Caryophanales; Staphylococcaceae.
GGGUGAGUAACACGUGGAUAACCUACCUAUAAGACUGGGAUAACUUCGGGAAACCGGAGCUAAUACCGGAUAAUAUAUUGAACCGCAUGGUUCAAUAGUGAAAGACGGUUUUGCUGUCACUCAUAGAUGGAUCCGCGCCGCAUUAGCUAGUUGGUAAGGUAACGGCUUACCAAGGCGACGAUGCGUAGCCGACCUGAGAGGGUGAUCGGCCACACUGGAACUGAGACACGGUCCAG